GUGUCCAGUGUGAGGUGCAGCUGGUGGAGUCUGGGGGAGCCUUGGUCAGGCCUGGGGGGUCUCUGAGACUCUCCUGUGCAGCCUCUGGAUUCACCUUUGAUGACUACUACAUGCACUGGGUCCGCCAGGCUCCAGGGAAGGGGCUGGAGUGGGUCUCAGGCAUUAGUUACAGUGGUGGUAGCACAUACUACGCCGAGUCUGUGAAGGGCCGCUUCACCAUCUCCAGGGACAACGCCAAGAACACGCUGUCUCUGCAAAUGAACAGCCUGAGAGCCGAGGACACUGCCGUGUAUUACUGUGCAAGAGACACAGUGAGGGGAAGUU
Long non-coding RNA from Myotis lucifugus (little brown bat), 324 nucleotides. RefSeq lists it as uncharacterized. The record is from RefSeq and is a predicted model, not a curated record. Lineage: Eukaryota; Metazoa; Chordata; Mammalia; Chiroptera; Vespertilionidae. The transcript has 3 exons.